This 450-nucleotide ribosomal RNA is filed under the name Babesia crassa. RNAcentral describes it as "SSU rRNA". The record is from RNAcentral. Lineage: Eukaryota; Apicomplexa; Aconoidasida; Piroplasmida; Babesiidae.
UGAUGGCGACGUAAAAGCUCGCCAGAGUACCAAUUGGAGGGCAAGUCUGGUGCCAGCAGCCGCGGUAAUUCCAGCUCCAAUAGCGUAUAUUAAACUUGUUGCAGUUAAAAAGCUCGUAGUUGAACUUCAGCCAUUGGUGUCAUCGCGCGUGUCGCUUUGWSUCCGUUGGCUUAUCUUUUUACUUUGAGAAAAUUAGAGUGUUUCAAGCAGACUUUUGUCUUGAAUACUUCAGCAUGGAAUAAUAGAGUAGGACCUUGGUUCUAUUUUGUUGGUUUCUGAACCUGGGUAAUGGUUAAUAGGAACGGUUGGGGGCAUUCGUAUUUAACUGUCAGAGGUGAAAUUCUUAGAUUUGUUAAAGACGAACUACUGCGAAAGCAUUUGCCAAGGACGUUUUCAUUAAUCAAGAACGAAAGUUAGGGGAUCGAAGACGAUCAGAUACCGUCGUAGUCC